AAACACUAACCCAAGCUAAUCUUGAAGAACCAUUUCGUGCUUCAUCAAUGGAAAGAGAGCUUUUCCUUCAUAUGAAUGUUGGCGACGGUGAAAGGAGUUACGCAAAUAACUCGUCACUCCAGAGAAAAAUAAUGCUUAAAGCCAAAGCCAUGCUUCAAGAAACUAUAACAAGAUUAUACUGUCAUUCUUCUCCAAACUGCAUCAAAGUGGCAGAUUUAGGUUGUUCUGUGGGACCAAAUACUCUUAUUGUAAUGUCAAAUAUUGUUGACAUUGUUCAUGCUACAUCUAUUCGUUUGAAUCGUGAACCACCCACAAUCCAAUUAUAUCUGAAUGAUUUAUUUGAAAACGAUUUCAAUACCAUCUUCAAGUCGCUUCCUGAUUUCUAUACCAAAUUGCGGCAAGAUAAGGGUCAGAAGUCUGGUUCUUGCUUUAUCAAUGCCACUCCUGGAUCUUUUUAUGGGAGACUCUUUCCUAGUAAUUCCAUAAACCUAUUUCAUUAAUUCUGCCAACAGUGUGCACUGGAUAUCUCAGGAUCCAUUUUUAGGGUUAAGUAAGGAGGCACUAAACAAGGGAAACUGUCACAUAGUUAGUACAAGCCCUCCAUACGUAUACACAACAUUCCUUAAGAAAUUCCAAAAGGACUUUGAAUUGUUUCUGAAAUCACGUUCAGAGGAACUUGUGCCUGGAGGAGCAAUGGUGUUAUUGUUACUUGUCAAAACUGAAACUCCAAGAAGAAGCAUUUGGGAAGCAAUUAGUCUAACAGUUACUGACAUGCUCUUAGAGGGUUUGGUUGAAGAAGAAAAAUUGGAGUCCUUUAACAUACCAACAUAUAAACCUAGCAUUGAGGAAAUAAGAGAGGUGAUUCGGGAAGAAGGGUCUAUUCUUCAUUCAAGAAUUAGAGAUUGCCAUCGUGCCUUGGGAUGAGGGAAGAAAUGAAGACGGUGAUGACGUUUUUGUUGAUGAAAAUAUAAGAGCCGAAUUCGUAGCAAGACACACAAGAGCUGUAAUGGAAUCUCUCUUAUCUGCUAACUUUGGUGCAAAAGUUAUGGAUGAAUUGUUCAUUAGGUUUCAAAAGAAAGUUGUGCAACUCCUGGAAGAGGAGAGAUUAGAGUAUGCUAAUUUGGUGAUAUCUCUUACAAAAAAAUGCUUAUAGAGUUAUUGUUUGUUAAAAAAAAAAGGUUAGCAAUAGAUAUCACUCUUUGGUUUCAACUAAUAUUUGUUGUUUCUUAGUAGUUUUCAAGAGGGAGAUAUACUGUGAAAUGAUUGAAUAAUAAGCAGCAAAACAAAAAAUAUAUAGAGGAUGAAAUGAAUGAGAAAUUAGAAAA
Long non-coding RNA from Vigna angularis (adzuki bean), 1325 nucleotides. RefSeq lists it as uncharacterized. The record is from RefSeq and is a predicted model, not a curated record. The transcript is spliced from 4 exons. Lineage: Eukaryota; Viridiplantae; Streptophyta; Magnoliopsida; Fabales; Fabaceae.